GGUUAACCGAAUAGGGGAGCCGAAGGGAAACCGAGUCUUAACUGGGCGUUAAGUUGCAGGGUAUAGACCCGAAACCCGGUGAUCUAGCCAUGGGCAGGUUGAAGGUUGGGUAACACUAACUGGAGGACCGAACCGACUAAUGUUGAAAAAUUAGCGGAUGACUUGUGGCUGGGGGUGAAAGGCCAAUCAAACCGGGAGAUAGCUGGUUCUCCCCGAAAGCUAUUUAGGUAGCGCCUCGUGAAUUCAUCUCCGGGGGUAGAGCACUGUUUCGGCAAGGGGGUCAUCCCGACUUACCAACCCGAUGCAAACUGCGAAUACCGGAGAAUGUUAUCACGGGAGACACACGGCGGGUGCUAACGUCCGUCGUGAAGAGGGAAACAACCCAGACCGCCAGCUAAGGUCCCAAAGUCAUGGUUAAGUGGGAAACGAUGUGGGAAGGCCCAGACAGCCAGGAUGUUGGCUUAGAAGCAGCCAUCAUUUAAAGAAAGCGUAAUAGCUCACUGGUCGAGUCGGCCUGCGCGGAAGAUGUAACGGGGCUAAACCAUGCACCGAAGCUGCGGCAGCGACGCU
This 570-nucleotide ribosomal RNA is filed under the name Escherichia coli. RNAcentral describes it as "partial 23S ribosomal RNA". It matches the Rfam family "Bacterial large subunit ribosomal RNA", at positions 644 to 1215 of the family's 2925-position model. Lineage: Bacteria; Pseudomonadati; Pseudomonadota; Gammaproteobacteria; Enterobacterales; Enterobacteriaceae. The record is from RNAcentral.